GGGAUCCCGGUCUUCUACCUCUGAGGUCUCUAUGUCUCAGGGUCUUCUUUGCCAGGAGAUCUUGGGGAUCCUGGACUUGUAUCCGGGAGAUCUUGGGGAUCCCGGUCUUCUACCUCUGAGGUCUCUAUGUCUCAGGGUCUUCUUUGCCAGGAGAUCUUGGGGAUCCUGGACUUGUAUCCGGGAGAUCUUGGGGAUCCCGGUCUUCUACCUCUGAGGUCUCUAUUGUAAUAUCCGGCUCGAGUCCGGCCUCAGAAUUCCUGUAGUUCGGUAGAAUCUCGAGUGUCGAAACCCUCGAGAAGGGUACUACAUAUGUUUUCAUGUGUGUUUUAAGAGUUUUGAAUGGUUUCAAGUGUGAAAGGAAAUAAGUUUUGAAAGAAAAGCAACAAGGGAGAAAUGCAAAGGUUCGGCCGCCGAAGGUCACUUUCGGCCGCCGAACAUUGCAUGGUUUCGGAUUCACGUUCGGCUGCCGAAGGUGGUCUGGCCAGCCACCUAUAAAAGGGCCAAGGGUCGGUGGAAGGAGGCUAUUUCUCCUCCACUUGCAGCCAGAGGUGAGUUCCAGCCUCUCUCACGUUGACUUUCAUGGUUUUUAUGAUUUCCUUCAAAUCUUUCCACGGUUUUCAGAGUUUUGAUGAUUUUGAAGGUUUUAAGCAAAAAGAACAAAGUUUGAAGCUUGGCGAGUUUGAGAACGGAUUUCUCUAUAUCUCCACAUUAGGAUCGUGUAAUCUCUUGUUUAGAAGAGGUAAGUACAGAUCCUGAACCUUCUUUGUUGAUUUUUGAAGGUUUUAUGAAGUUUGUAUGGGUAGUAUGCAUGUUUAGGUUUAGGUGAGGUUUUUGGUGCUCUUUCAUGUUUAAGUGUUAUGUGCUAUGUUUGUUUGGGGUUUAGGAUAGUUUGAGACCUCUUUGUGCAUAUAUAUGUGUAUGUGCUAGUUGGGAGUAGUUGAUAUGCAUGUUGUAGGUUUUUGGGCAAAGUUUGCAUGAAACAGAGCAGGGUUCUGCCCAUCGGGCAAAACCAGGUUCGGCCGCCGAAGGAAGGUUCGGCCGCCGAACCCCUUGUGGAGGCAGUUUAGGCUGCCAAAGCUUGCCCCCAAAACUUGGGACUUUCGUCUCUGGAGGCAAGGUUCGGCCGCCGAAAGUGCCGCCGAAGGUUGAGUUUCGUCUCUGGAUGAGACUUUCGGCCGCCGAAGGUGCCGCCGAACAUGCAUGAGUUUCGUCUCUGGAGAGGGGUUUUGGCCGCCGAACCUGCCACCGAAAGUGCCCUGUCCAGCUUUCUUUUGCAUGAUUUAUGUGCUUGUUUGGGGAUCUUGUAGAGGGUUUUUGGGGGAGUGUUUUACAGAGGUUCUUGAGUUAGUUUGGUCCCUCAUUUGAGUCCACCUGUGUAGGUACGGACCAGAGGAAUCAGGGAGGUCAGCAGUGAGUCCAGUUUCCGACCUGCAGAGUCAGUUCAGAGUCAACCCGAGGUGAGUGGAACUGAACUUAGUAUUUUACUAUGAGAAACGAGUAUUUUAUCAUGCUUCAUGCAUCAUGAAUAUGCUAUAGGGUGAGUGCAUUAGUGUACACGAAUAUGAUGCAUUGCAUUUAUCCUUGAUUCUAUGACUGUAUGGACAUAGUAAGGAUUCAAUAGCCCUCAGAGGAAAGACCUGGAACAGCCCUACGGGGACCAGGCAUAAAGACCGAGAACAGCCCUACGGGGACUAGGCAUAAAGACCUAGAACAGCCCUACGGGGACCAGGCACAAAGACCUGGAACAGCCCUAUGGGGACCAGGCAUAUGGUAUAGAGGGAGUGUUGAUCCGUCCAUGCUGAGAUGUGAUUACUUGUGAUGUGAUACAUUGCAUGAGAGCAUGUUUUAUCACCUGUUCUUUAUUACUGUUCUACUCACUGGGCUAUAGUAGCUCAUCCCUCUCCCCUAACUCCAGUUGUGCAGGUUCAGAAUUCAGAGGGAAGUCAGCAGGGUACAGGAAGAGUAUAUAGUUUGUAAUAGUUAGUCAGUGUGGACAUGUAAAUGUAAAGAGAUAAUGUAUGUGUACAGUGUAUAGAAUGGUGCUUGAUUAUAAGAGUUGUAAUCCCUUUUUGUGUUUUCACAUGAUCAGUUUAUGUUUAUAUAUUGUUGUAUGUUUAUGAGAAAACCAGGCUUAACAUUAUGAGUUUUAUCCGCCUAGAGCAAUGAGGAGCUCUAGUAGGGAUUGGUAGAGAACAGAGAUAGUACAUGCACAGGUUAAGCCUUGGAAUGAAGAAAAGUUUUAUGUUUUUUUUUUACAGAAAAUAUAUGAUCAUGUAUGGGAUGUCACAGGUUCACAGUCAGGAUAACAGGCUUACUACGGGUCCCGGCGACCUUAAGUCGAUCUGGAUCCUAGUGCCGGUGGCAGUUCGGUUUCCGGGCUGUUAUAUCUAUGUCUCAGGGUCUUCUUUGCUAGGAGAUCUUGGGGAUCCUGGACUUGUAUCCGGGAGAUCUUGGGGAUCCCGGUCUUCUACCUCUGAGGUCUCUAUGUCUCAGGGUCUUCUUUGCCAGGAGAUCUUGGGGAUCCUGGACUUGUAUCCGGGAGAUCUUGGGGAUCCCGGUCUUCUACCUCUG
RNAcentral lists this long non-coding RNA (2571 nucleotides) under Manihot esculenta (cassava). RNAcentral's name for it is "long non-coding RNA (MESC_LNC000238)". Lineage: Eukaryota; Viridiplantae; Streptophyta; Magnoliopsida; Malpighiales; Euphorbiaceae. The record is from RNAcentral.